Molecule: ribosomal RNA, 364 nt
Filed under: Elphidium williamsoni
Lineage: Eukaryota; Foraminifera; Rotaliida; Elphidiidae
Description: SSU rRNA
Rfam family: Eukaryotic small subunit ribosomal RNA
Source: RNAcentral
GGCUUAAUUUGACUCAACGCGGGAAAUCUUACCGGGUCCGGACACACUGAGGAUUGACAGACAAAUAUAGAAAUUUUAUAUUUCUCAUAUAUAAAGAUGCUAGUUCUUUCAUGAUUAUGUGAUAGGUGGUGCAUGGCCGUUCUUAGUUCGUGGAGUGAUCUGUCUGCUUAAUUGCGUUUCAAUUUUUAUUAUGUAUACGUAUGACCCACGUUUACGCGUGCGAGUCUAGUAUGCUAUCAUUUGAAAGCAACGAACGUGACCGUAUCCUUUUAUUAUAUACGCACGCGUAUAUUUAUUCAUUAAAGGGACCGCUGUUUCUUUUUUUAAACCAGAGGAAGGUUACGGCAAUAACAGGUCUGUGAUG